RNAcentral lists this ribosomal RNA (253 nucleotides) under uncultured bacterium. Its description in RNAcentral is "partial 16S ribosomal RNA". It matches the Rfam family "Bacterial small subunit ribosomal RNA", at positions 524 to 776 of the family's 1533-position model. The record is from RNAcentral.
UACGUAGGGUGCAAGCGUUGUCCGGAAUUAUUGGGCGUAAAGCGCUCGUAGGCGGUCUGUCGCGUCGGCUGUGAAAACCCGGAGCUCAACUCCGGGCCUGCAGUCGAUACGGGCAAACUGGAGUGUUGCAGGGGAGACUGGAAUUCCUGGUGUAGCGGUGAAAUGCGCAGAUAUCAGGAGGAACACCGGUGGCGAAGGCGGGUCUCUGGGCAUUACCUGACGCUGAGGAGCGAAAGUGUGGGGAGCGAACAGG